Molecule: ribosomal RNA, 268 nt
Filed under: uncultured bacterium
Lineage: Bacteria
Description: partial 16S ribosomal RNA
Rfam family: Bacterial small subunit ribosomal RNA
Source: RNAcentral
CCGAUGGCGACCGGCGCACGGGUGAGUAACACGUAUCCAACCUGCCGAUAACUCGGGGAUAGCCUUUCGAAAGAAAGAUUAAUAUCCGAUAGGAUAUCAAGGUCGCAUGAUCUUGAUAUUAAAGAAUUUCGGUUAUCGAUGGGGAUGCGUUCCAUUAGUUAGUUGGCGGGGUAACGGCCCACCAAGACGACGAUGGAUAGGGGUUCUGAGAGGAAGGUCCCCCACAUUGGAGCUGAGACACGGUCCAAACUCCUACGGAAGGCAGCAG